Fukomys damarensis (Damara mole-rat) is the source of this 71-nucleotide non-coding RNA. Lineage: Eukaryota; Metazoa; Chordata; Mammalia; Rodentia; Bathyergidae. The record is from Rfam.
GAGGAUGUAGCUCAGUGAUAGAGUGCUUGUCUAGCAUGUGCAAGGCCCUGGGUUCAAUCCCAGCAGCCACU